AUUGAACGCUGGCGGCAGGCCUAACACAUGCAAGUCGAACGAGCGGCGGACGGGUGAGUAAUGUCUGGGAAACUGCCUGCUGGAGGGGGAUAACUACUGGAAACGGUAGCUAAUACCGCAUACCAUCAGAUGUACCCAUAUGGGAUUAGCUUGUUGGUGGGGUAACGGCUCACCAAGGCGACGAUCCCUAGCUGGUCUGAGAGGAUGACCAGCCACACUGGAACUGAGACACGGCCCAGACUCCUACGGGAGGCAGCAGUGGGGAAUAGUGCACAAUGGGCGAAAGCCUGAUGCAGCCAUGCCGCGUGUAUGAAGAAGGCCUUCGGGUUGUAAAGUACUUUCAGUGGGGAGGCGUUACCGACAGAAGAAGCACCGGCUAACUCCGUGCCAGCAGCCGCGGUAAUAC
Molecule: ribosomal RNA, 406 nt
Filed under: uncultured bacterium
Lineage: Bacteria
Description: partial 16S ribosomal RNA
Rfam family: Bacterial small subunit ribosomal RNA
Source: RNAcentral